This 440-nucleotide ribosomal RNA is filed under the name uncultured bacterium. Its description in RNAcentral is "partial 16S ribosomal RNA". It matches the Rfam family "Bacterial small subunit ribosomal RNA", at positions 338 to 795 of the family's 1533-position model. The record is from RNAcentral.
CCUACGGGUGGCAGCAGUAGGGAAUAUUGCUCAAUGGGGGAAACCCUGAAGCAGCAACGCCGCGUGGAGGAUGAAGGUUUUCGGAUUGUAAACUCCUUUUGUUAGAGAAGAUAAUGACGGUAUCUAACGAAUAAGCACCGGCUAACUCCGUGCCAGCAGCCGCGGUAAUACGGAGGGUGAAAACGUUAGUCGGAAUUACUGGGCGUAGAGAGCGCGUAGGCGGGUUAGCAAGUCUGAUGUGAAAGCCUAUGGCUUAACCAUAGGACGUCAUUUGAAACUGUAAAUCUAGAGUAUAGGAGAGGUAAGUGGAAUUCCUGGUGUAGCGGUAAAAUCCGUAGAGAUCAAGAGGAAUACUCAUGGCGAAGGCGACCUGCUAGAACAUAACUGACGCUGAUGUGCGAAAGCGUGGGGAGCAAACAGGAUUAGAUACCCGUGUAGUC